GGUUACCCAAAAUGGAUCUUAUAUAUUGUUUUCCAAAACCCUAGACAGAGCCUCCAUCUACGUUCUGCCUCUGAUCCGUACUCCAUUUUGAUUUGGUGGCCACGAUGAUGGCUUCUAAUGUUUGAUGUUUUUCCUGUUCUUCAUUCGCAUAUUCAUCAGGGUGAAGUUGAUGAUAUCAAACCAGAUUCUACCGGUUCACUUUAGGCUUCAUGUUCAGAUGAUUCCACUGCAAAGUUAGGAGAAGAAAGUGAUGCAAAUGAUCCGUCAAUAUGAGGAGAGAAACAAGCGGUUGUUUUACAUCCUUUUAAUACAUAAUGUGGAGGAACUACUCUUAGUUGUUUAUACUCCAACGGUAGGCGAAGCAUGCGAGAAUUUUGGUAGAAUUUUUCGGCGUUCAAGGGACUUUACAUGUCUUUAAAAGACAAAUGCUAUAUUGUAUUUGGAGUGGGCACCUGAUGACAUUCUGAGUGGAGGUCCAGUGGAUGUAAAUGAUGAAAAAGAAACUCCUAUUAUGAGUGAUCAGCAGACCAAAUGAGCAUUACUAAUGAGCAUUACUGAGCAACAAUUGGAAGGAACAAAGGAUUCUAAUAUUGAUACAACACGAGGUGAGUCCUGGUCAUUCUUUGUCAACAAUCUGAAUUUUAACACUACCGACGAGAGUUUAAAGAAACAUUUUGUUGACCAUAUAAAGGAAGGAAAACUAUGUAGUGUCAGGAUUAAAAAAAGCACAUGAAGAAUGGGAAAAACAUUACAUUGGGUUUUGGUUUCUUGGGGUUUGAUAUUGUGGAUACUGUUAUACAGGUCUACAGGGACUUACAGGUUUGAUGCAUCGUGUUGUAUUAAGAUUUAUUGGAAGUGUUGUUAGCAUGUUUUCAUUUUCAGGAACGGUUUUGGAUGGACAUGCUUUUAUAUUACAGUUAUGUCAUGUUAAGAACAAUUAUAGAAUAAAAGGGAUGGUGGGCGAGGAUUAAAGUUCAACAAAGUUAAUUAUGAGAAAUGUAGCUUUUGAAGCUACUGAGAAAGAGUGAUGCCAACUAAUUAGUCCUUUUGGUGAGGUAAAGAGUUUAAGGCUUCCAACAAGGUUGGGAAGCAUAGAGGAUUCACUUUUUUCGAGCAUAUAACCAAACAAGAGACGAAAAACAUCCUUCAAGCUCUAUCAAACACUCAUUUAUAUCGACUUCAUCUGAUCUAGGUUUUUGAAACCCAAUUUCUGCACUUAAGUUUGGAUAUUCUGAUAGCACUUCAUAAUUACACUUGAAUGAGGUAAAUUACACUUUGCAUCUACUAAGACAACUCAGUUUGUUCUUGAUCUAGGAUUUUGUGUUCUUCCGUAGGGUUUGGAAUCAAGAUCUACAUUUAAAGAAAAUGAGCUAGGGACAACGGUUUCAGCUCGGAACGAUCAGGCGUUAGGUUUACCUGUGGUUUCUUCAGUGUGGCAAGGAGACACUCAGUAGCAUCCUUGGUUUUAAUUUUGGUACCUUAGGUGCUUUUAUUCGCUUGAGUAAAUUGGUGUCAAUGAACGGGGCUUCGGUGCUUCUAUUCGUCUCAUAGACAGUUUAUAUUUGCUUAUGCUGACUUAGAGGACAAAGCAGUCACAGAGUCAGUUAGCGGGUUGGACCAAGUGGAACAUAUGUCUCAGCAGAAACCAAGCUCUGUUGACCAAACUCUGUUGAAUCUGAUAGCCAGAAAGAUGACGUAGAUAGUGCUCCAAAUUCUGGUCAGUUUUCGCCUGGGAAGUCGUACCGGGCAGCUGUUUUAAAAAACUGAUUUGCUGAUACGAAAUUUAAAGCUCGAGAAAAGACACCCAGUGAGGGGAUCCUGAGAAGCUGCGUUGAGAGAAAGAGGAGCUAGAAAACCAGAAACGGAAAGAAAAAAGCUCGGUUGCAAGCAGCAGCAGAGGCUGCCGAAAACGCAAGAAGGCGGGCAGAAGUAGAAGCUGCGUUAGAGGCAAAGCGAAAGAGAGACCUCGAGAGGGAAGCAGCUCGUCAGGCGUUAUUGAAGGUUAUAGUGUAUCUUAAAGAAACUGUUGAAGAGAAGAAUUUAUAGAGAGCUGGCUAGAAAAGUACUGUUCAGCAACUUUUAAUGACAGGUGGACAUCUAGAGGGUGACUUGUUAGCUCCUGAGGAUGUUGUUUCUUUGCCGAUUGAUGAUGCACAAUUGGAGUAGAAACUAAAGGAAAGUCCCAGAGGUUUAGUUUAUGGGCUUAAGGAUAUUAUAUAUCAAUUUUAUUUUUUAAAUGUUUAUGAAAUUAUCUUCUACUAUUUACAAUUUUUGUAUGAACUUGAAAUUUCUCUUCUUUCUAAUCAAUAUUCAGCUACAUCAUUUAACUUUCACUUGUGAUGGGUUCAGGUCAGAUUGGGUUUCGGACGAACCAUGUUAACAUCUGUGGUAGGGGUCCUCCUUUGGUGACAUAUAGGAGCAACUGCAAGGCCAUGUUAACUGCUGUGGAUGGAGCUGUCCAAUUGGUUCCGACCGAAGAAGUGUUGUCAAGAUCAUAGGAGUUUGCUUAACAUGGUUCUUGAAGAUUAUUCUAGGAGUUUGCUUAAAUGGUUCCUUAAGAUUAUUCUAAGAGUUUGCUUAAAAUGGAUUAGUUAUUAUUGAUUUGGUGUUUAUUUUACAUUAAAAUAUUUUGCUAUCUGUUGAAAUUUGUUUGAAUAAAAGUUUAUAAGUGGCAAUAUUAUGUGACCCUUUGCAUAAAA
Helianthus annuus (common sunflower) is the source of this 2699-nucleotide long non-coding RNA. RefSeq lists it as uncharacterized. The transcript is spliced from 17 exons. Lineage: Eukaryota; Viridiplantae; Streptophyta; Magnoliopsida; Asterales; Asteraceae. The record is from RefSeq and is a predicted model, not a curated record.